GCGGACGGGUGAGUAAUGUCUGGGAAACUGCCUGAUGGAGGAGGAUAACUACUCGGAAACGGUAGCUAAUACCGCAUAACGUCGCAAGACCAAAGAGGGGGACCUUCGGGCCUCUUGCCAUCACAUGUGCCCAGAUGGGAUUAUCUAGUAGGUGGGGUAACGGCUCACCUAGGCGACGAUCCCUAGCUGGUCUGAGAGGAUGACCAGCCACACUGGAACUGAGACACGGUCCAGACUCCUACGGGAGGCAGCAGUGGGGAAUAUUGCACAAUGGGCGCAAGCCUGAUGCAGCCAUGCCGCGUGUAUGAAGAAGGCCUUCGGGUUGUAAGUACUUUCAGCGGGGAGGAAGGUGUUGUGGUUAAUAACCGCAGCAAUUGACGUUACCCGCAGAAGAAGCACCGGCUAACUCCGUGCCAGCAGCCGCGGUAAUACGGAGGGUGCAAGCGUUAAUCGGAAUUACUGGGCGUAAAGCGCACGCAGGCGGUCUGUCCAGUCGGAUGUGAAAUCCCCGGGCUCCACCUGGGAACUGC
Molecule: ribosomal RNA, 530 nt
Filed under: Enterobacter cloacae
Lineage: Bacteria; Pseudomonadati; Pseudomonadota; Gammaproteobacteria; Enterobacterales; Enterobacteriaceae
Description: bacterial SSU rRNA
Rfam family: Bacterial small subunit ribosomal RNA
Source: RNAcentral